CGGAUAGAGCCAGCGAAGUCGCUCGUAUUCAGCCAAAAGUCUGGGGUUGCCUCUCGUCGUGUUUCUAAUCGAGCACGGCGGUUUGUCUUCUCCGGAUUGAGGUGCAUUUGCGGGCGUUUGCGCUGAGACUUGCGAGGCAGCUGCGGGACCGGCGUUUAGAGGCUUCCCAUUGGGUCGAACCUGGGCGCCGUUACAGCUGUUUGCCUUGCUCGUACUGGUCUGGCCUACGGACCCUGCUCGUGCUGUUGUCAACUGGCCAAGGCAUCGCAUGCGAUGUCUAGCCUGGGGGCUGCAGCGCGGGUUGGUGUCCCCGGAUCGCCUCUCGGUGUAGAAGCUGGUCAUCUCUCCGACCCGUCUUGAAACACGGACCAAGGAGUUUAGCGUAUGCGCGAGUCAUUGGGUGUUAAAACGCACAGGCGCAAUGAAAGUGAAGGCUCGGUCGCCGGGCUGACAUGCGAGUGCCGCGGCUUCGGCCCAGGCAUGCAGCAUGGUCCCAUUGCAAUCGUUUACGAUACAGUGGAGACAGAGCGUAUGCGCUGAG
RNAcentral lists this ribosomal RNA (541 nucleotides) under Mesocriconema xenoplax. RNAcentral describes it as "partial large subunit ribosomal RNA". It matches the Rfam family "Eukaryotic large subunit ribosomal RNA", at positions 420 to 813 of the family's 3401-position model. The record is from RNAcentral. Lineage: Eukaryota; Metazoa; Nematoda; Chromadorea; Rhabditida; Criconematidae.